This 379-nucleotide ribosomal RNA is filed under the name uncultured organism. Its description in RNAcentral is "bacterial SSU rRNA". It matches the Rfam family "Bacterial small subunit ribosomal RNA", at positions 45 to 433 of the family's 1533-position model. The record is from RNAcentral.
UGCCUCAUACAUGCAAGUCGAGCGUCCGCCGUAAGGCGGAAGCGGCGAACGGGUGAGUAACACGUGAACAAUCUUCCCUCUGGUGGGGGAUAGCCAGCCUAACGGCUGAUUAAUACCGCAUAGCGUAUGGGGAAGGCAUCUUUUCCAUACAAAAGAUUUAUCGCCAGAGGAUGAGUUCGCGUCCCAUUAGCUUGUUGGCGGGGUAACGGCCCACCAAGGCUACGAUGGGUAUCCGGCCUGAGAGGGUGUACGGACACAUUGGGACUGAGAUACGGCCCAGACUCCUACGGGAGGCAGCAGUAGGGAAUUUUGCGCAAUGGGGGAAACCCUGACGCAGCAACGCCAUGUGUGGGAUGAAGCAUUUCGGUGUGUAAACCAC